RNAcentral lists this ribosomal RNA (463 nucleotides) under uncultured bacterium. RNAcentral's name for it is "bacterial SSU rRNA". It matches the Rfam family "Bacterial small subunit ribosomal RNA", at positions 30 to 487 of the family's 1533-position model. The record is from RNAcentral.
AUUGAACGCUGGCGGCAGGCCUAACACAUGCAAGUCGAGCGGUAGAGAGAAGCUUGCUUCUCUUGAGAGCGGCGGACGGGUGAGUAAUGCCUAGGAAUCUGCCUAGUGGUGGGGGAUAACGUUCGGAAACGGACGCUAAUACCGCAUACGUCCUACGGGAGAAAGCGGGGGAUCUUCGGACCUCGCGCCAUUAGAUGAGCCUAGGUCGGAUUAGCUAGUUGGUGAGGUAAUGGCUCACCAAGGCGACGAUCCGUAACUGGUCUGAGAGGAUGAUCAGUCACACUGGAACUGAGACACGGUCCAGACUCCUACGGGAGGCAGCAGUGGGGAAUAUUGGACAAUGGGCGAAAGCCUGAUCCAGCCAUGCCGCGUGUGUGAAGAAGGUCUUCGGAUUGUAAAGCACUUUAAGUUGGGAGGAAGGGCAGUAACCUAAUACGUUAUGUUUUGACGUUACCGACAGAAU